This 325-nucleotide unclassified non-coding RNA is filed under the name Hevea brasiliensis (rubber tree). Lineage: Eukaryota; Viridiplantae; Streptophyta; Magnoliopsida; Malpighiales; Euphorbiaceae. The record is from RNAcentral.
GUGCCAUAAGAUAAUUAAACUUCAGGAACAAACUCCUAAUCCAUUAUUCAAAAUCAUCUCUCUUUAACUUUCCAUCGCAUAAACCUUUUCACUAAUGAUUCUAUAACCUCAGCGAAAACCUAAUACAUUAUCCAAAACCCCAAAAAGAAUGCACCAAACGAAAAUCGGCUAGUACCCACUAUCACCAACCUCAUUAAUCAUCCAACUGUUGAAGCUCAGCCUUCAACUGCUCAAUCUUCAGUCCCAUUGACCUCUGCAAAGCCGCCUUUUCGCUCUCGGGCAACUUCCCCAAUAGCCCCUCAAACAUGUCCAGCACUUCUUUCAC